Molecule: long non-coding RNA, 2948 nt
Organism: Gasterosteus aculeatus aculeatus (three-spined stickleback)
Lineage: Eukaryota; Metazoa; Chordata; Actinopteri; Perciformes; Gasterosteidae
Source: Ensembl
GGGGGGGCGAUGUGACCUCCCCGCAGUCGGAAUGCAAAUUGGUGAAAGUGACAGCGGUUUAAACCCUGAAGAGUGAUGACGGCGAAACAGCCGCAGUGGGAUGUUCAUGUUCAUGUGGAUGACAUCACACGUGAUGACAUCAUGCGUGAGGUCAUCUACAUCAUGGACCACAGCAGCUGGUUAAGUUUGGAACCAGAAGAAAGUGUCCUUCAGGAUUCUUUAUUCGUUAAAGAGCAGACUGUGUAACACACACCCCCCCCCCCGCCGCCCAAAAGAGCCUCAAGUGACUAUAAAAUGAUCCAGAUAUUUGCCCCGGAGGCGCCGAUAAGGCAAUACUUAGAACCCAAAGAUUUACAUAAAUUAUUGGUGUCCUCCCUCCAGUUAUUUUUGUCAGAGUGGGAAUGGAACUGAAAUGUUAUUUAUGAAAGAGCCCCGAUAGAACUCUACUUCAUUCCAUUUGAAUAGAAUUAACUUUAUUUUGAAGGAACGAAGCAGCACUGUCAGUCCUCCUCUCUGAGGCUUCUGGCCCUCAUUCGUCUCCUGGUGCUCGGUGACUUCCAACGAAUCAGUAUUCCAGAACAUCUCCGCAGCCGUCUGGUGGAGGAGCACAUCUUCAUGCAGGAGAUCACCUCCCUGGCCUCGGAGUCUGUUGACCAGAUGGAGGACUCUCAGUGGUUCCUCCUCACACUGAGACUCUGGAGGACACUCUGAACACCAUCAGGUCUCCUUCAUUUGUGUUCUAAUCACUAAACCAACAGCUGUUCUUCCUCCACUCAUCUUCUGGCUGGAGGUCCUGUCCUCUCUCCUGCAUCCAAAGAGAUGAACAUCAGACAAACGGUGAAGAGCUCAGAGCUCCUCAGGCUGAUGUGAGACGGAGACGCCUUCGCCCCCUGAAUGCAAACGGCAACGUUAUCGUGUGCGCGUUCAAUUCAACCAUAAAUCACACAAUGACAGAAAGUCCUCCGGCGGGGGGGGGGGGGGGGGGGGGGCGUGCCAGAGAGGGCUUCCAGUCAGAAUACAAAGAGGAGUCACACAGUCCAUCAGAUGUCUCCAUCUUGGUCUCCUCGGGAAUCGGCAACUCACCUUUUGUCAUUUACCGUGAUUCUGAUCUUCAGAUGAGAUCAAACGUCCUUUUACCUCUUUACUACUUUCUCCUAAACUCACCAAACGUUACUAUUUAAUGGCGAGGUGUGUUUCACAGUGAGUGCUCCUCUUAAUGUAGUGAUGAAGUGGUGAACUCUCGUGUUGAUGUCUCCUCUGAGCUGCUCGUGUUGAAUGGAGCAGGAGGGAGGAGGUCAUUAAAACAGAGGGAAGCGUCGGUGUGAAAUGAAGAGGAAGCCAUCUGUCAUGGAGCGACGAGGCUUCACCUGGAUGCUAAUGAGCCUCAAACCGCCGGCAGAGGAAAUAUUAAACUGUUAAACGUGAGCGAUGAUGGCGAGCCGGCGGAGGAGGAAGGUCGCUGCUUUUAACGCGUCUCUUUUUCUUUCAUCCGGGGACAAACAUCCUGCCGUCUGUGUUUUGACUGGUCCUGAAUCAAGAUCAGCAGAGACCAGUCCACCGUGGACAGACCAGGGUCCUCCAGCAGAGACCAGUCCACCGUGGACAGACCCAGGUCCUCCAGUAGAGACCAGUCCACUGUGGACAGACCCAGGUCCUCCAGAAGAGACCAGUCCACUGUGGACAGACCAAGGUCCUCCAGCAGAGACCAUUUCACCGCGGACAGACCCAGGUCCUCCAGAAGAGACCAGUCCACUGUGGACAGACCCAGGUCCUCCAGAAGAGACCAGUCCACUGUGGACAGACCAGGGUCCUCAGUAGAGACCAGUCCACUGUGGACAGACCCAGGUCCUCCAGUAGAGACCAGUCCACCGUGGACAGACCCAGGUCCUCCAGCAGAGACCAGUUCACUGUGGACAGACCAGAGUCCUCCAGUAGAGACCAGUUCAUUGUGGACAGACCAAGGUCCUCCAGCAGAGACCAGUUCACCGCGGACAGACCCAGGUCCUCCAGUAGCGACCAGUCCACCGUGGACAGACCCAGGUCCUCCAGUAGAGACCAGUCCACCGUGGACAGACCAGGGUCCUCCAGUAGAGACCAGUCCACUGUGGACAGACCAGGGUCCUCAGCAGAGACCAGUCCACCGUGGACAGACCCAGGUCCUCCAGUAGAGACCAGUCCACCGUGGACAGACCAGGGUCCUCCAGUAGAGACCAGUCCACUGUGGACAGACCAGGGUCCUCAGCAGAGACCAGUCCACCGUGGACAGACCCAGGUCCUCCAGUAGAGACCAGUCCACCGUGGACAGACCAAGGUCCUCCAGCAGAGACCAGUUCACUGCGGACAGACCCAGGUCCUCCAGAAGAGACCAGUCCACUGUGGACAGACCCAGGUCCUCCAGAAGAGACCAGUUCACUGUGGACAGACCAGAGUCCUCCAGUAGAGACCAGUUCAUUGUAGACAGACCAAGGUCCUCCAGCAGAGACCAGUUCACCGUGGACAGACCAAGGUCCUCCAGCAGAGACCAGUUCACCGCGGACAGACCCAGGUCCUCCAGUAGCGACCAGUCCACCGUGGACAGACCCAGGUCCUCCAGUAGAGACCAGUCCACCGUGGACAGACCAGGGUCCUCCAGUAGAGACCAGUCCACUGUGGACAGACCAGGGUCCUCAGCAGAGACCAGUCCACCGUGGACAGACCCAGGUCCUCCAGUAGCGACCAGUCCACCGUGGACAGACCAGGGUCCUCCAGUAGAGACCAGUCCACUGUGGACAGACCCAGGUCCUCCAGUAGAGACCAGUCCACUGUGGACAGACCAGGGUCCUCAGCAGAGACCAGUCCACCGUGGACGAUGGAUGGUGGUGAUUCUGGUCCUCCUGCUGACUGAACUGAGUGCAUGAAUCUUCUUCUCCAUGAAUCACAUGCUCAUAUUGCUGCCUCCCCCCUCACCC